Non-coding RNA from Lactuca sativa (garden lettuce), 1620 nucleotides. Lineage: Eukaryota; Viridiplantae; Streptophyta; Magnoliopsida; Asterales; Asteraceae. The record is from RefSeq and is a predicted model, not a curated record.
AUUCAACAGUUCUUGCUACUGAUUGGAUCAAACUUUUUUUGAUUUUCUUUUCUUUCUCAUUAAUUUUUUUUCCUCCACCGCCUCUACCUACUCUAUCUUCCACCGACAAAGGACUAGAUACGUGCUCUCUUCUCAGACAACCCACUGACAUUUCUCUUCGUCCUUCACACCGCCUAAUAUACCCAAUUCAGUUCGGUGACAUCGGAGAUCACCUUCAACCGCCACAAUCUACGCCUCCUGGGGUUCUUCGUCAUGUGUUUUUGAAUCCACCGUCUCAUCAUCGUCGUCCUCUUUCUGACCAUCAUCUACGACUUUUUCAUCUGCUACGUCGUUGAUGUUUACGCUACGAAGAAUUUGAACAUAGUUUUUGGAUCACAAAAGGCUCCUCUGAGCACCAUCUGUUCAAUAAAAUGCCCAAGUGAAACCACCGCCGACCAAUCUUCUAAUCUGCUAAAGGGUUUUCUAGCAAAGUUGUUCCAUGAGUGAGGGGAUUUGUGGAAGUGAAAGAGUAUGGUGUUCCAGAUACAGUGAAAUCAAUGUCUUGAUGUGGGGAAAACAUAUGUGUGGGAGGAAGAGAAUACAUGGGCUAUUAUGUGUUUAAUGUUUGCAGUUGAAGUUCAUGUUGCUAAGCCUAUUGUUGUUCAACUUCAACCAAAGCCUAAUCCAGUAAAAUAAACUUUAUUUGCAGGAAGCUUAACAAAUGCUGCAGAAAAGGAGCAUGUCACCCACACUAGCAAGGUUGGUCACCUUAAUGACAGUCAGGAUGCUGGACUUCAUGCAAGAAAUAUAAGUACUGUAUCAACAGUGGAUAGUGAAAUGAUUGAUGAAGAUGGGAACCCAAUCUUGAAAGUUGGAAGGAUAAAAAGAACAAGAAGAAAAAGAGUGUUGCUAAAGAAGUUCAAAUUCAUGUAGACCAACAGAUGGGUGAAAAGCAGGGGUCAACAGAGGCGAAUGCAAUGCAACCACUUUCACAAAUAGUUCCAAUUCCAAAGAACGAAAUCACACCUUAUAGAGUUGUGAUUAUAGUGGACUUUUCUUAUACUUCUUCUUGGCACACCGAUUGAAGAAAGGGUAAUAUGUUUUUAGUUUUUUAUGUAGUUGUAUUUGUAGGAGUGAAACAAAUUUAAUUUGGAUAGAAAAUGAAGAACCUAAUGAAAACCAAAAGCACAUACAUUCAAUUAGGUUCUUCUUUUUAUGUAUUCUGGAAAACCAAAGUUGCAUUUAAUUCUUGAUUAGGCUUCAGUCGCAAAAUGAUUCAUGGGGUUAUCCAGGAUGUGGUUGUGAAUGGCGCAAGUGUAAUUUCGGCUUCAGUUUAAAAUAUAGUAGACAACAAACAUUAACGUGUCUAUAAAGUCACAGCAAAAAUCAAGAAGAAGAAACAAUGAAGUAGAGUUUAUGAAGGCUGAUAGCACUGUAAUUCUGCAUACAUAAUUGGAUGCUCCAAGUUUCAUAUCUGUGAUGCAACUUUAUUCGGAGAUUGUAGGAUUGCAGUUUACCUUCCACUAAAUAAAUGACUGAAAAAUAUAUCCUUACCUACUCUUAGUGAUGGUUUCAUCCAAAUCUAACCCCCGUUACGCGGGGGCUCUUUUCUAGUUAUUCUUUAAAUUUCUUGAUAAUACU